RNAcentral lists this ribosomal RNA (420 nucleotides) under uncultured bacterium. RNAcentral's name for it is "bacterial SSU rRNA". It matches the Rfam family "Bacterial small subunit ribosomal RNA", at positions 355 to 776 of the family's 1533-position model. The record is from RNAcentral.
UGGGGAAUAUUGCGCAAUGGGGGCAACCCUGACGCAGCGACGCCAUGUGAAGGAUGAAGGUCUUAGGAUUGUAAACUUCUGUUAAGCGGGAAUAAGGUCUAGUUUACUAGACUUGACGGUACCGCUAGAGAAAGUACCGGCUAACUCCGUGCCAGCAGCCGCGGUAAUACGGAGGGUGCAAGCGUUAUUCGGAAUUACUAGGUGUAAAGGGUGCGUAGGUGGUUUGUUAAGUCGAAUGUUAAAUCCACUAGCUUAACUAGUUGGCUGCAUUCGAAACUGACGGACUUGAGUAUAGAAGAGGAAAAUGGAAUUCCUAGUGUAGCGGUGAAAUGCGUAGAUAUUAGGAGGAACACCAAUAGCGAAAGCAGUUUUCUGGUCUAUAACUGACACUGAGGCACGAAAGCUAGGGGAUCAAACAGG